Molecule: ribosomal RNA, 278 nt
Filed under: uncultured prokaryote
Description: partial 16S ribosomal RNA
Rfam family: Bacterial small subunit ribosomal RNA
Source: RNAcentral
UACGUAGGGGGCUAGCGUUAUCCGGAAUUACUAGGCGUAAAGGGCAGGCAGGCGGAUCCAUAAGUUUAUCGUUUAAGGCGUCGGCUUAACCGGCGUAGGGCGGUAGAUACUGUGGAUCUGGAAUGCGGUUGGGGAAGACAGAAUUCCUGGUGUAGCGGUGGAAUGCGCAGAGAUCAGGAGGAAUACCGAAGGCGAAGGCAGUCUUCCAAGCCGUUAUUGACGCUCAACUGCGAAGGUGUGGGUAUCAAACAGGAUUAGAUACCCCGGUAGUCCCUGAG